RNAcentral lists this ribosomal RNA (417 nucleotides) under uncultured bacterium. RNAcentral's name for it is "bacterial SSU rRNA". It matches the Rfam family "Bacterial small subunit ribosomal RNA", at positions 769 to 1186 of the family's 1533-position model. The record is from RNAcentral.
UUAACCGGAUUAGAUACCCUGGUAGUCCACGCCGUAAACGAUGUCGACUUGGAGGUUGUGCCCUUGAGGCGUGGCUUCCGGAGCUAACGCGUUAAGUCGACCGCCUGGGGAGUACGGCCGCAAGGUUAAAACUCAAAUGAAUUGACGGGGGCCCGCACAAGCGGUGGAGCACGUGGUUUAAUUCGAUGCAACGCGAAGAACCUUACCUGGUCUUGACAUCCACGGAAGUUUUCAGAGAUGAGAAUGUGCCUUCGGGAACCGUGAGACAGGUGCUGCAUGGCUGUCGUCAGCUCGUGUUGUGAAAUGUUGGGUUAAGUCCCGCAACGAGCGCAACCCUUAUCCUUUGUUGCCAGCGGUCCGGCCGGGAACUCAAAGGAGACUGCCAGUGAUAAACUGGAGGAAGGUGGGGAUGACGUA